This 424-nucleotide ribosomal RNA is filed under the name uncultured prokaryote. RNAcentral's name for it is "bacterial SSU rRNA". It matches the Rfam family "Bacterial small subunit ribosomal RNA", at positions 355 to 796 of the family's 1533-position model. The record is from RNAcentral.
UGGGGUAUAUUGGACAAUGGGCGAAAGCCUGAUCCAGCCAUGCCGCGUGAGUGAUGAAGGCCUUAGGGUUGUAAAACUCUUUCGCUGGGGAAGAUAAUGACGGUACCCAGUAAAGAAGCCCCGGCUAAUUUCGUGCCAGCAGCCGCGGUAAUACGAAAGGGGCUAGCGUUGUUCGGAAUUACUGGGCGUAAAGCGCGCGUAGGCGGCAUGCCAAGUUGGGGGUGAAAUCCCUGGGCUCAACCCAGGAACUGCCUCCAAAACUGGCAAGCUAGAAUACUGGAGGGGUGAGUGGAAUUCCGAGUGUAGAGGUGAAAUUCGUAGAUAUUCGUAAGAACACCAGUGGCGAAGGCGACUCACUGGACAGUUAUUUACGCUGAGGUGCGAAAGCGUGGGGAGCAAACAGGAUUAGAUACCCCCGUAGUCC